AAAAGCCAUGAUUGUCAUGUUAUUCUGGAAGAUAUUCUUCCUCUAGCACUUCGAUCCUGUUACCCGCACAAAGAGGUCAUGACAGUAGUUAUCGGGCUGUCUAAUUUCUUCAAGAAGCUAUGCUCGAAAGUGUUAGAUGUCUCUGAGCUUGACAAACUUCAAGAGAGUAUUGUGAUGACACUUUGCAAUAUGGAGAGAAUUUUUCUUCCAUCAUUCUCUACUAUCAUGGUGCAUUUAAUGGUGCACUUGGUUGAAGAAGUUAAACUUGGUGGUCCAGUGCACUAUCGAUGGAUGUACCCUCUGGAGAGAUCAUUUGUCCGGCUGAAAGCACUUGUGCGCAAUAGAGCAUUUCCUGAAGGUUCAAUUGCUGAAGGGUAUCUUGCCCAAGAAUGCUUGACCUUUUGUUCAAGAUUUCUAGAAGGAACUACACGUUUUACAAGACCAUCAAGAAACCCUGCUCCGUCAGAAAAGAUAAAAGAUAUGUACAUGUUCAAUAGUGCUGGUGAACCAAUUGGAAAGGCUAUCCCGGUUGGGCAGUUUAAUAGCCGUCUUCUAAUUCAAGCACAUCGAUAUGUCUUACGACAUUGUGAUGAACUUGCAGAUUUCCGCAAAGAAUUUGUGGCCGAAGAGAAUAGCAAACGAUGUGAGUCAGCUAAAUUG
RNAcentral lists this ribosomal RNA (660 nucleotides) under Triticum aestivum (bread wheat). Its description in RNAcentral is "partial small subunit ribosomal RNA". The record is from RNAcentral. Lineage: Eukaryota; Viridiplantae; Streptophyta; Magnoliopsida; Poales; Poaceae.